This 253-nucleotide ribosomal RNA is filed under the name uncultured bacterium. Its description in RNAcentral is "partial 16S ribosomal RNA". It matches the Rfam family "Bacterial small subunit ribosomal RNA", at positions 524 to 776 of the family's 1533-position model. The record is from RNAcentral.
UACGGGGGGAGCAAGCGUUGUUCGGAUUUACUGGGCGUAAAGAGCGCGCAGGCGGUCGUGUAAGUCGAAUGUGAAAGCCCCCGGCUCAACUGGGGAGGGUCAUUCGAUACUGCUCGACUCGAAGGCAGGAGAGGGAAGCGGAAUUCCCGGUGUAGUGGUGAAAUGCGUAGAUAUCGGGAGGAACACCAGUGGCGAAGGCGGCUUUCUGGCCUGUUCUUGACGCUGAGGCGCGAAAGCUAGGGGAGCAAACGGG